GACGAACGUUGGCGGCGUGCCUAAUACAUGCAAGUCCAGCGGGUUUUCGGAAGAGAACCAGCGGCGGACGGGUGAGUAACACGUAAGUAACCGAACUGUGAGACACGGAUAGCGAUUGGAAACGAUCGGUAAACCGAGAUGAGAUGGGUAGGAGGAAGAAACUAGCCAUGGAAGGAAGGCGAAAGCUUUUGCUGGCAGACGGGCUUGCGGCGCAUUAGCUAGUUGGUUAGGUAAAGGCUGACCAAGGCAACGAUGCGUAGCCGACCUGAGAGGGUGAACGGCCACACUGGGACUGAGACACGGCCCAGACUCCUACGGGAGGCAGCAGUAGGGAAUAUUCCGCAAUGGACGGAAGUCUGACGGAGCGACGCCGCGUGAGUGAGGAAGGUUUUCGGAUCGUAAAGCUCUGUUAACAAGGAAGAAGACAAGUAGAAGUAACUGUCUAUUUGGUGACGGUACUUGGAGAGGAAGUCCCGGCAAACUACGUG
Molecule: ribosomal RNA, 488 nt
Filed under: uncultured bacterium
Lineage: Bacteria
Description: partial 16S ribosomal RNA
Rfam family: Bacterial small subunit ribosomal RNA
Source: RNAcentral